CCUCUCACACCCUCAGGACUCCCUCCCCCCCACCAUUUCCCAGGGAAUUUCCAGCAGCAGUGUUUAAGCUCAGCCUUUAAAAUCUCUGGUGGCAGAGCCUGACACAGUGCGCAGACCUUCAGCCCUGUGCAGGCUGCCCAGCAUCCCUGACUCGCUGUGCCCAUGAGGGUCUCUGCCCCAGACGGUCCCAGCAAAAAGCAGCUUCAGGGCUGAAUUCAGUAGGGUUUCACAUCUUUUUCUUUUGCGGAGGUGAUACUACAUUGCCAGCUACGCUUUUUUACCAUAUGCAACACCAACACACUGGCAGUUAACAAGCUACAACACAGAACCACUUGGCAACACAGAGAAAAUGGGCAGAAAAUCCCCAAGCAAGAGGGAAGGGGGAAAAAAAUGAAAUGAAUUGACAGCAUUAAACAUGCAAGAGAGAACUGUAAAGGAGAGGCUGCCAGGGAGCAAAGGUGCUCUCCCAGGCUUGUGCACAGCACCAAGUGCAGAACCUCAGCAGGGGAAGCAGCCGCUGCUUAACCCUCAGAGCUGAAGCACCUGAAUACUUCCUGGAGAGCAACAGAGGUGAGAAACCAAACCCAUCCUAGUGUCAGUUCCCCUCUCGAAGUCAGCUGAUGUGGUAGCCUGCCAUAGCUGGGGAUCCAGGAACACACGUGAUGCCACCCAGCCCCACAGGACCUCUGAAUUCACUGUCCCAUACGUUAGAGUACAAGCAAUACUUAUUUGUAAAAAUUGUGGUGUGACUGUACCAAAAGCAUCUGUGCUGGGCAGCAGUGCCCGGGAAGGCAGGGGCUCAGGCAGUCUGGCUCCACGUUGGGCCAAUGAAGAUGAGCUCAGGCAGCAGUGGAUUCAAGGUGGGGGAAUGGAGUUUUGCUCCUGCUGCAGGAAUGAAGUUUGGAGCUGUCUUCACUUGUAACACCACAUAAUUCUAGGUGGCUGCAGAUUUAUUACUGUAUUUUCCCAAAUUUGGAAGGCUUCCACUUUUGACCACAUAAAAGAAACAUUUUCCUUUUCUCAGUAUGACCUCCAUUUUCUAUUCUGAGACAAAAUCCAUUAUAGCAAUGCCUGGAAAAGCUACACAUCUAAUCAUUUUCCCUGAGAAUUCCUCAGAAUUUUGAGAUGGGUUUAGGUUGGCCAGAGCUUUUCCACCCCCCAGCAAGAAAAACUGCUUGUGAGAUUCUCCAUUUUUAAAAGAUAAUGAUGGCUGUGUUCACUGCAGGAUUUUUCCUGUUACCAGUUUGAUUUGCAGUCGCAGCUGAAGGCCUAUGCCAUGAAUUAUUUGCCAAUUAAGCAGUGCUUGCGUGGAGGCUGUGUAUUUUACACCUUGACAGCUAUUACAGGCAGAAGGUAACAGGAGCUUUGACUUAAACGCAAAUUAUCAAACACUGAACAGUCUGAAGCAGAGACCCAAGCUGACUUGGACAGAAGACACAACAGAGAUAAAUUUGCUGCUGACGUUUUAUCUUGGGUGGGAGUAACAAAGGUAAAGACAAAAUCAAGAUGUCCAUAUCUUCCUUGCUCUUUAACAGCAGACUUUUUAAUCCUUCCUGAAGACAUCCAGAAAAAUUAUUUAUGUCGUGGAACAAGUAUUGGAAGAGAUAGCUGCCCUCUGUUACAACUAAUAUGAUUAAUAUCCUUGCAUAAUCUUUUUUCUUAGGGAGAAGAGAGAGUGAUCUCACUACUCCAAUCACAUUGCAUUAUUAUAUACCUUGGGAACAGAAAAGCAGCUGUUUCUAUCAAUUAUGGCAAAAUUUACUCAGAGCCCCAAUAAAGGGUCACUGCAGACAUCCCAGCAGAACAGAAGACAGCUACAUUUAUGUUCCAGAAAGACACCUCUGAGUUGUCAUUGUAUGGCAACAUCCCCAGAAGCUAAGCCAAUCAGAAGAAUAAACCAACCAAAACAACAACAGAACAACAGCAACAAAGAACUUUUCAGAAGUUCCCUGACCCCAAAUUGUUUAUAGGCUAAGCAUUUCUACUCCAACAGCUUCAACAGAAGAUCUGCUGCCCAAAUAUUUGCUGGAUCUCACUCCACUCUUUUGCCAGUAGACAGAAAGGAAGGACCCAAGAGGUUCUUCACAUUCUGCACAGUGCCAGGGAUGCAAAACAGCUUCAAAGAUCUAUAGAUAGGAUGUAGAUACAACCCUGUCUAAAAAAGUCACCACCCUAACAAAUUAGUAACUUGCCCAACUGGAAAAAGUUAAGCUACCUUUUUUACAGCACCUGAUUUGUCAAAUUAAAAGAUACCAUUAACAAUUAAAAAAAAAAAAAAAAACCAAAAAA
This is a long non-coding RNA of Passer domesticus (house sparrow), 2289 nucleotides long. RefSeq lists it as uncharacterized. The record is from RefSeq and is a predicted model, not a curated record. Lineage: Eukaryota; Metazoa; Chordata; Aves; Passeriformes; Passeridae. The transcript is spliced from 2 exons.